UAAAGAGCGCGUAGGCGGUCUGUCAAGUUGGGAGUGAAAGCCCGGGGCUCAACCUCGGAAUUGCUUUCAAAACUAGCAGACUAGAGUUCGGUAGGGGAUGGUGGAAUUCCUAGUGUAGAGGUGAAAUUCUUAGAUAUUAGGAGGAACACCAGUGGCGAAGGCGGCCAUCUGGGCCGAUACUGACGCUGAGGCGCGAAAGCGUGGGUAGCAAACAGGAUUAGAUACCCAGU
Molecule: ribosomal RNA, 230 nt
Filed under: uncultured bacterium
Lineage: Bacteria
Description: partial 16S ribosomal RNA
Rfam family: Bacterial small subunit ribosomal RNA
Source: RNAcentral